UUCACCCAGUCUUCUCUCCUUUACGUGACCCGUGCUCUGUUUGUGUUAUGGUGUGAGUGUGGUGAACUUGUUCUCUAUAUCCAUCUUACUUGAUAUCAAUCACCUGAUUCGCCUUUCUUAUAUCACAUCUAUGAUUAUUAUACCGCUGAGAAAUACGAAGAACUUAACUUAUUAAGACAUAGAGCCCCAAACACUUCGUAGAAUUAGGAAAGAGAACAACAAAGGAAGAGACUAAACAAAAAUGCACCGUAAUCUGUACCCUGCCACCGCGCCAAAGAUCGUGAACGUGCCGGUGGUUAUUGUGAUGGUAGGCUUACCCGCAAGAGGCAAGAGCUUUAUCUCGAGGAAGCUGGCUAGAUAUCUUAACUGGAUUGGGGUAUCAACGAAAGUGUUUAGCCUUGGUGACUAUCGACGUAGGAUGCUGGAAGGUUCUCAGUUUGAUCAUUCAUUCUUUGAUCCUAAUAAUCCAAAUGGCAUGAACAUACGAGAGGAGUGUGCUAAACUGGUGCUGGCGGAUAUAGUCGAGUGGCUUAAAGACAAAGGCAAAGUUGCGAUAUUUGAUGCCACCAACUCUACACGCAAACGUAGGGAGACAAUUAUAGAAAAAUGCCAAAGCUAUGAAUGCAGGGUCAUGUUUUUGGAAUCAGUUGUGGAUGAUCCUGUGAUUGUCAAGUCUAACGUGAUGGCUGUAAAGAUAAGCUCUCCUGAUUAUAAAGGUGUCCAACCAGAGCAGGCGUGUGAGGAUUUCCUAGCACGAAUAGAACACUAUGAGCAAGCAUAUGAGCCACUGUGUAUGGCGAAGGAUCGUCAUGUAUCAUACCUAAAGAUUAUCAAUGGAGGGAAGCAAUUUGUGGCUAAUAAAAUUGAAGGUUAUCUUGAGAGUCGAAUUGUCUACUAUAUGAUGAAUAUCCACAUUACUCCAAAGGCUAUCUACCUAACACGGCAUGGAGAAAGUGAAUAUAAUCUAAAGGGAAGGAUAGGUGGGGAUUCAGAUUUAUCUCACAGAGGCAGAUUGUAUGGAGAGAAACUGGCAGAGUUUAUGGCUGAACAAAAGCUUCAAGAUUUUAGGGUUUGGACAAGUGAAUUCAAGCGCACCAUUCAAACCACAGAGCAUAUCAAAGGAGUGUCUACUGAAAAAUGGGCAGCUUUGAAUGAGAUUGAUGCUGGUGUGUGUGAGGGAAUGACAUACGAAGAGAUACAGGAAAAUUUUCCCGAAGACUUUGCCAAAAGAGAUGAGGACAAAUUUCACUACAGAUAUCGGAGAGGAGAGUCAUAUGAAGAUCUAGUUGCAAGGCUAGAACCAGUGAUCAUGGAACUUGAGAGGCAGCACAAUGUUCUUGUAGUAUGUCACCAGGCAGUAGGCAGAUGCCUACUUGCCUACUUUCUAGACAAGAAUUAUGAAGAGCUUCCAUAUAUCAAAGUUCCAUUGCACAGUGUACUGAAGCUUACAACAGAGGCAUAUGCUCCCAAAUGUCACUCCCGCAAAAGACGCUGGAUCUUUCGGGUGUAAGAUAGAGCAGUUUGAUUUACAUAUCCCGGCAGUCAAUACACACAGGCAGAAACCAGAAGAUGUGUCAGUCAGUCGAGACUCGGCCCAUGCCUUGCAGACCGUACCGGCUCACGAGUAAACUCUUCACUCAUUGGUGAAUGUGAUUUCUUGGUUAUUUAUAAGGUCACAGGGAGGCGGUGAUGGGGACAGAUUAGGGUUUUAAGGUAUUGAGGGGGGGGGGGGGGCAGCUUUUAUUACGGUGUAUGAAUACAAUAUUUUUACCGGAUCGUUGCAUCAUCGGAUGAUGCCUUCUGAUUGUGUAAAAAUGAAAAUAAAACAUACUUUACUGA
Nematostella vectensis (starlet sea anemone) is the source of this 1839-nucleotide RNA transcript. It is a transcript of the gene named 6-phosphofructo-2-kinase/fructose-2,6-bisphosphatase, with no coding region annotated. The record is from RefSeq and is a predicted model, not a curated record. NCBI's taxonomy places the organism in Eukaryota, Metazoa, Cnidaria, Anthozoa, Actiniaria, Edwardsiidae. The transcript has 18 exons.